GGAAAAUCAACAAUUGGUGAGAUGCUUGGAAGAGCUGUUCAUGGCCGCUUUCUUGAUGCGGAUGAUUAUCACUCAGAGUCCAACAAAGAGAAGAUGAAGAAUGGGAUACCUCUUUCAGAGGAAGAUCGUGUUCCAUGGCUUGAAGCAUUGCGGAAUACACUGAGAAGAGGAUUAGUUGACAAUGAAACACUGGUUCUUGCUUGCUCAGCUCUGCAAAAGCGGUACAG
RNAcentral lists this unclassified non-coding RNA (227 nucleotides) under Hevea brasiliensis (rubber tree). Lineage: Eukaryota; Viridiplantae; Streptophyta; Magnoliopsida; Malpighiales; Euphorbiaceae. The record is from RNAcentral.